ACGUGGUGGCCGACCCUGCGGAUGAAUGAAAGUACAAACCAAUGCUUUUCACGAAGCAGUAAUACGGAGAAGUGCUGAAUCAAUUCAUCUUUGCGAAGGCUGGAUCUCCAGCGUAUUUUGACGAACAACUGCCCUAUCAGCCAGUGAUGGCCGUGUAGUGGACUGCCAUGGCGUUGACGGGAGCGGGGGAUUAGGGUUCGAUUCCGGAGAGGGAGCCUGAGAAAUGGCUACCACUUCUACGGAGGGCAGCAGGCGCGCAAAUUGCCCAAUGCCAAAACAAAUGAUGAGGCAGCGAAAAGAAAUAGGUGCUCCAAACACUUCGGUGUUUGGAGCUUUCAAUGGGGGAUAUUUAAAACCAUCCAACAUCGAGUAACAAUUGGAGGACAAGUCUGGUGCCAGCACCCGCGGUAAUUCCAGCUCCAAGAGCGUAUAUUAACGCUGUUGCUGUUAAAGGGUUCGUAGUUGAACUGUGAAGCAUGACUCCAAGAUUCCGCCCUAUUCCCACGGUUUAGGGAACUCUUGAUCAUCGCUUCGAGAACGUCAGAAACUAAGAUCACGGGAGCGUUUUUUACAAAUGGCCACCAAUUACGCGAGCAAUGCACGCUGGUGGACGUCCGUGUUCAUUACUGUGACUAAAGAAGAGCGACCAAAGCAGUCCAUCGACAUGAAUUAGAAAGCAUGGGAUAACAAAGCAGCAGCCUAUGAGCUACCGUUUAGGCUUUUGUUGGUUUUAAAGGUUCGUGGGAGAUUACGGGCGUGUAGGACCGGUGUUGGAUCUUCGGAUCCCUCAUCUCCUUCUAGUGCUGGAAACGGUGCUAGUGAGGCCUAUGUGACCCAGGAAUGAAGGAGGGUUGCUCGGGGGAAAACGUACUUGGGCGUGAGAGGUGAAAUUCUUAGACCGCCCAAAGACGAACUACAGCGAAGGCAUUUUCCAAGGAUACCUUCCUCAAUCAAGAACCAAAGUGUGGGGAUCGAAGAUGAUUAGAGACCAUUGUAGUCCACACCACAAACGGUGACCCCCAUGAAUUGGGGAGUUUUUAUGGAGGCAUUUCUCGGCUUGUCCGAGCGAAUGUCCCGCAAUAAAGUAUUCAACCUACGUGCACGUUCUAUCCAGCUAAGAGGUAACACUCUUAGCCUUGACGGGAACAUCCUCAGCACGUUCUCUUACUGUUUCACGCGAAAGCUUUGAGGUUACAGUCUCAGGGGGGAGUACGUUCGCAAGAGUGAAACUCAAAGAAAUUGACGGAAUGGCACCACAAGAUGUGGAGCGUGCGGUUUAAUUUGACCCAACACGGGGAACUUUACCAGAUCCGGAAAGGGUAAGGAUUGACAGAUUGAUUGUUCUUUCUCGAUUCUCUCAAUGGUGUGCAUGGCCGCUUUUGGUCGGUGGAGUGAUUUGUUUGGUCGAUUCCGUCAACGGACGAGAUCCAAGCUGCCCAGUAGGGGCCUGAAUCGUCAAUUUGAAGACAGCGCUCCGGAGCUGGCUCCGGCUUAGCU
Molecule: ribosomal RNA, 1497 nt
Filed under: metagenome
Description: SSU rRNA
Rfam family: Eukaryotic small subunit ribosomal RNA
Source: RNAcentral